This 980-nucleotide ribosomal RNA is filed under the name uncultured bacterium. RNAcentral's name for it is "bacterial SSU rRNA". It matches the Rfam family "Bacterial small subunit ribosomal RNA", at positions 9 to 974 of the family's 1533-position model. The record is from RNAcentral.
GAGUUUGAUCCCUGGCUCAGAUUGAACGCUGGCGGCAUGCCUUACACAUGCAAGUCGAACGGCAGCACGGGUGCUUGCACCUGGUGGCGAGUGGCGAACGGGUGAGGUAAUACAUCGGAACAUGUUCCUGUAGUGGGGGAUAGCCCGGCGAAAGCCGGAUUAAUACCGCAUACGAUCUAUGGAUGAAAGCGGGGGACCUUCGGGCCUCGCGCUAUAGGGUUGGCCGAUGGCUGAUUAGCUAGUUGGUGGGGUAAAGGCCUACCAAGGCGACGAUCAGUAGCUGGUCUGAGAGGACGACCAGCCACACUGGGACUGAGACACGGCCCAGACUCCUACGGGAGGCAGCAGUGGGGAAUUUUGGACAAUGGGCGAAAGCCUGAUCCAGCACAUGCCGCGUGUGUGAAGAAGGCCUUCGGGUUGUAAAGCACUUUUGUCCGGAAAGAAAUCCUUUGGGCUAAUACCCCGGGGGGAUGACGGUACCGGAAGAAUAAGCACCGGCUAACUACGUGCCAGCAGCCGCGGUAAUACGUAGGGUGCGAGCGUUAAUCGGAAUUACUGGGCGUAAAGCGUGCGCAGGCGGUUUGUUAAGACCGAUGUGAAAUCCCCGGGCUCAACCUGGGAACUGCAUUGGUGACUGGCAAGCUAGAGUAUGGCAGAGGGGGGGUAGAAUUUCCACGUGUAGCAGUGAAAUGCGUAGAGAUGUGGAGGAAUACCGAUGGCGAAGGGCAGCCCCCUGGGCCAAUACUGACGCUCAUGCACGAAAGCGUGGGGAGCAAACAGGAUUAGAUACCCUGGUAGUCCACGCCCUAAACGAUGUCAACUAGUUGUUGGGGAUUCAUUUCCUUAGUAACGUAGCUAACCGCGUGAAGUUUGACCGCCUGGGGAGUACGGUCGCAAGAUUAAAACUCAAAGGAAUUGACGGGGACCCGCACAAGCGGUGGAUGAUGUGGAUUAAUUCGAUGCAACGCGAAAAACCUUUA